GCCAUCUCUGCAAUGAAGUUCCGUCCAACGGCUUUGAUUGUUGACUUUUUUGGCACUGAGGCCAUGGAUGUUGCGGACGAGUUCGGGUUGCUCAAGUACAUGUUCAUUGCUUCUAAUGCAUGGUUUCUUGCUUGCUUCAUACAUGCACCUGCAAUUGAUAAAAAGCUUUUAACAGAUGAGCACUUUAACCUGGAAAAACCAAUGGAAUUACCUGGGUGUAUGCCGGUUCGAUUCCAGGACUCCUUGGAAUCGUUUCUACACCCAAACGAGCCGAUAUUCGAUUUCAUUUCCAGUAUAGGGAUGAAGAUGUCACUGUCCGAUGGAAUCUUGGUCAACACGUGGGAUGAUCUGGAGCCCAA
RNAcentral lists this long non-coding RNA (359 nucleotides) under Citrus maxima (pomelo). RNAcentral's name for it is "long non-coding RNA (CMAX_LNC001800)". Lineage: Eukaryota; Viridiplantae; Streptophyta; Magnoliopsida; Sapindales; Rutaceae. The record is from RNAcentral.